UUUUCCCCAUCGAAGCGACAUUCCUUUCUGAUUGACCUCACUGGGGGUUGUCAUGGAGCAUUACUAAGUCACAGAGCAGCUGCUGACACCCAGCAGGGGGCCAGGGACCCCUUCCAACACCCUCAGACAGCCCCAAGCAGCAAUCAGGACUCCAGCCCAUCAUGUACAGGCUGGCAUAGCUGAAUGCAAUACCUUCAGUGCUGAAAGCACAAACCAAACCAAUGCCCCGGCAAGGAGCUGUACGGAGUGAAAACAAAAUCCUGCAGCAGAAGCACUCUGGGCAAGCAGAUAAAGGCAGGCGGAAUGAAGAGAAUGAAGGACACCAUUUCAGAGACAGAAGGACUGAAGUAACCUUUGAAAUCAAAGCCUUCAAAGUGACAGCAGCCUGUGCCUCUGGCUAUACUGAAGGUUCACACCUGGAAAUGCCUCAAUAUAGUGUAAAGCUUCUGUUGCCUGAUGCAGAUCACAGCCUUGCUGAGAUAAAAGUAGAACUACUAUUGCUGGAGGAUGAAUUGCCGAAAGACCAGAUGCAGGCGCAGGAGAGAUCAGCUGGAAGCGGUCCCUGUGUCGGUCUCAAGUCUGUUUGCUGGAAAAGGGUAUUAUGGCAAUGCUAAUCUACAGUAGUCAUCACUUCUCUGCACUUUCUCUGGGCACAGAACACUUCUAAGAUGAGUGGAACAUCUAGUGAUGGAACUGAUGAUGAUGACCAAGGCAAACCACACUUUUCUGAUUCUUUGCCUCCUGGAGGAAUCGGAUCCAGCAGGAAAAAACCAAAGAAAGAGAGGCAGCAGUUAGCAGCUCAGAAGAAUACGGAGACAACUGAAGUGGAAAAAGAGGUGCUGAUACUGAAAGUCAGCUGCUGGAACCAAGCAGAACUGGCAGAGGAAGGGACCACUCCAAGUCUGAUGCCCACGCUUCUGGAGAUCAUGACAUUUACCAUCUUUGUGUUUGUGAUCUUCAUGUGUGUAACUAAUGGAGGCGAAUAGAAAUGGUCUGCUCAUAAACCUUAUCCUGGGGAGACAAUAAAAGCCCAGUCCUGAUGACAUAAGCAGUGUUUAGUGGUGACUACAAAACUGAAGAAUGCAAUUUUUUUUCCUCUCUGCUACUUGUGAACAAGCUCUUCAGGCAGUGAAUUAACAGGCUAGGAGGAGGGUGAAACAGCCUGUGACUUGUCUUUGCCUGGUGUUCACCGCAUUCAGAAGUUCCUAAUUCUUGAAAGCGUGCCUUGCUAUACUGUUUCGCCUUUGCUGCAUCCAUGUUUGCACAUUUUGUGCCCCAGCUGGAGGGUUUAUUUGCUCAGAGGUGUUUGGAGUUCUGCAUGGCUUGGUUUUUCCUAAGCUGCCCAUGGCUGGGAUUACCGCAUCGUUGAGGAUUUGUGGCUUCUCUAAGCUCUGGUUAUCUUAUAUGUGAGAACCACCAGAUAUAAACGGAGGGAAUAAAUUGUUUGCCAAUCUGGCAAGACAGGGAAUGAUGGCUCUAGCUUAAUACAAGCCAUGAGAGAUCAAGGGAGGAGAUACUAUCUUAACCACUUCUGAAAAAAUGUUCUUGCCCCUUCAAGUCUGUAACUUACGGAAAAAGGGGAAUACUGGAAGUGAGGAUCUCCCAUUGUUGGCCUGCUACUCCUCGUCAGAAAAGAACCUAAUUUUAUGUGCAAUGUUCUCCUAAAUCAUAAUACUUAAAUGACUUAAGGGUUAAGCUUAAGCUGAGGCCUUUUGGUAUCUUUUCACAGCAGAAACGCAGAACUUGGAGCCUGGCACGUAAUCGGAAAGAUCAUUUGGAUUGCUGAAUGUAUUUGAUUUUAAAACCGCUGGGUUUCUCCUGUUGUCCGUAUCCACUUUGCCAAGAAAAAAAAUUUUGUAUCCUUAGGUUUGACACUGGUUUAGCAGGAAAAUCUUCCCUGCUUAAGUCAUAACACAGUAAGCUAGAGGGGUGAGAUACUGCAUGGUUUCCUUAAAACUUCUAAGACAUUUUGCUUUAUCUUAAAGGUGUGUGCACUUUGUAAUUGCUGCCUCAGGUCUGGGUGAUGGCUUUAACGUGAGGUAAGAGGUUACCUCUUCUUCUAAGGUUAAAUGGUAAUAAAUGAGAAAGGGGCGUUUGACUCCUCUAACAGUCAGUGAGAUGAAGGUGGCUGCCUUUCCACCAAG
Molecule: long non-coding RNA, 2144 nt
Organism: Falco peregrinus (peregrine falcon)
Lineage: Eukaryota; Metazoa; Chordata; Aves; Falconiformes; Falconidae
Exons: 7
Source: RefSeq, a predicted model, not a curated record